GUCCACGCCGUAAACGAUGGAUACUAGCUGUUCGGAGCAAUCUGAGUGGCUAAGCGAAAGUGAUAAGUAUCCCACCUGGGGAGUACGUUCGCAAGAAUGAAACUCAAAGGAAUUGACGGGGGCCCGCACAAGCGGUGGAGCAUGUGGUUUAAUUCGAUGAUACGCGAGGAACCUUACCAAGGCUUAAAUGUAGAUUGACCGAUUUGGAAACAGAUCUUUCGUAAGACAAUUUACAAGGUGCUGCAUGGUUGUCGU
Molecule: ribosomal RNA, 255 nt
Filed under: uncultured bacterium
Lineage: Bacteria
Description: partial 16S ribosomal RNA
Rfam family: Bacterial small subunit ribosomal RNA
Source: RNAcentral